ACUCCUACGGGAGGCAGCAGUAGGGAAUCUUCCGCAAUGGACGAAAGUCUGACGGAGCAACGCCGCGUGAGUGAAGAAGGCCUUCGGGUCGUAAAACUCUGUUGCCGGGGAAGAACAAGUGCCGUUCGAACAGGGCGGCGCCUUGACGGUACCCGGCCAGAAAGCCACGGCUAACUACGUGCCAGCAGCCGCGGUAAUACGUAGGUGGCAAGCGUUGUCCGGAAUUAUUGGGCGUAAAGCGCGCGCAGGCGGCUUCUUAAGUCUGAUGUGAAAUCUUGCGGCUCAACCGCAAGCGGUCAUUGGAAACUGGGAGGCUUGAGUGCAGAAGAGGAGAGUGGAAUUCCACGUGUAGCGGUGAAAUGCGUAGAGAUGUGGAGGAACACCAGUGGCGAAGGCGGCUCUCUGGUCUGUAACUGACGCUGAGGCGCGAAAGCGUGGGGAGCAAACAGGAUUAGAUACCCUGGUAGU
This 468-nucleotide ribosomal RNA is filed under the name uncultured bacterium. Its description in RNAcentral is "bacterial SSU rRNA". It matches the Rfam family "Bacterial small subunit ribosomal RNA", at positions 335 to 794 of the family's 1533-position model. The record is from RNAcentral.